RNAcentral lists this ribosomal RNA (502 nucleotides) under uncultured bacterium. Its description in RNAcentral is "partial 16S ribosomal RNA". It matches the Rfam family "Bacterial small subunit ribosomal RNA", at positions 899 to 1397 of the family's 1533-position model. The record is from RNAcentral.
ACUCAAAUGAAUUGACGGGGGCCCGCACAAGCGGUGGAGCAUGCGGUUUAAUUCGAUGCUACGCGAAAAACCUUACCAACCCUUGACAUGGUGAUUAAAGGAACCAGAGAUGGUUCUGUCAGUUCGGCUGGAUCACACACAGGUGUUGCAUGGCUGUCGUCAGCUCGUGUCGUGAGAUGUUGGGUUAAGUCCCGCAACGAGCGCAACCCUCAUCCUUAUUUACCAGCGAGUUAUGUCGGGGACUAUAAGGAAACUGCCAGCGAUAAGCUGGAGGAAGGUGGGGAUGAUGUCAAGUCAUCAUGGCCCUUACGGGUUGGGCUACACGCGUGCUACAAUGGCAGUGACAAAGAGAAGCGAAGGAGCGAUCUGGAGCAAAUCUCAUAAAAGCUGUCUCAGUUCGGAUUGCACUCUGCAACUCGAGUGCAUGAAGUCGGAAUCGCUAGUAAUCGCGGAUCAGCACGCCGCGGUGAAUACGUUCACGGGCCUUGUACACACCGCCCGU